AGGUCUAGCCUGCCCAGUGAUAAAUUCAACGGCCGCGGUACCCUAACCGUGCAAAGGUAGCAUAAUCACUUGUUCUUUAAAUAGGGACUUGUAUCAACGGCAUCACGAGGGUUGUACUGUCUCCCCCCUCCAAUCAGUGAAACUGAUCCCCCCAUGAAAAAGUGGGGAUAAACCUAUAAGACGAGAAGACCCCAUGGAGCUUUAAACCAACAGCAAUUUAGCAAACGCUUUCCCACUAGCUACAAAAAGAUGCCAGAAGUUUUAGGUUGGGAGGACCACGGAGUAAAAAUAAACCUCCGUAACGAAAAGAUAAAAAAUCUUUACCUAAAAGUUACUACUUGAAGGAUUGGCAAACUAACAUAAGUGACCCGAUAUCGAUCAACGAACCAAGUUACCCUGGGGAUAACAGCGCAAUCCACUUCAAGAGUUCAUAUCGACAAGUGGGCUUACGACCUCGAUGUUGGAUCAGGGUGUCCUAGUGGUGCAGCCGCUACCAAAGGUUCGUUUGUUCAACGAUUAAAACCCU
RNAcentral lists this ribosomal RNA (526 nucleotides) under Pseudophilautus schneideri. RNAcentral's name for it is "partial 16S ribosomal RNA". It matches the Rfam family "Bacterial large subunit ribosomal RNA", at positions 1850 to 2597 of the family's 2925-position model. The record is from RNAcentral. RNAcentral also lists the same sequence under 1 other name. Lineage: Eukaryota; Metazoa; Chordata; Amphibia; Anura; Rhacophoridae.